AUACCACAACUUCUGAAUCUGAAUGUAAAAAAGCAACCAGUCACCUGUAUGGAGGAGCAAAAAUACAAACCCAAGAUUAGAAGGUAUUAAUCAAUGCAAGGUCCUUCGGAGAGGAAUCGAUGUCGGCAGUCAUCUGGAGGUCCGCUUCCAGCAAGUUAAGCCUACGUCCGAUGUCCUUCCAGCUGUGACCAAGCUCAGAGGAUAGGUCCGAGAGGAGGUUGACC
Lytechinus variegatus (green sea urchin) is the source of this 224-nucleotide long non-coding RNA. RefSeq lists it as uncharacterized. The transcript is spliced from 3 exons. Lineage: Eukaryota; Metazoa; Echinodermata; Echinoidea; Temnopleuroida; Toxopneustidae. The record is from RefSeq and is a predicted model, not a curated record.